CAAUUGGAUUUAAUGCACAUCCUGCCUUGUCCGUGUAUAAAAAAGCGAGGACGUCGGCUGUUGGUAACAGUUCGUGACGUGAACCGGUUACGCGUACGAUUAUAUAGCAAACAAACAUGAAGCUCGUACUGCUUGUGGUGGCUAUAGCUUUGGUGGUCUUCCAAGACGUUAACGCCGGAUGUGAGGAUCAAACGCCUCCCUGCUCGUGUAAGGUAGGUCAGGGGGUGUGGAAGUCGGGAUCGGCCGGGUGCAAGUACAUCUGCAAGGAGGGUGUCGUUGAAAUGACGUGCGCGCAAGCAGACGAAACCUACAAACGCGAACAGAAACAAGGUUAAACAUGUUGUAACUUUUAUUUAUAUCAAUAAAGAAUCACCUGGCCUUUUUA
Molecule: long non-coding RNA, 385 nt
Organism: Photinus pyralis (common eastern firefly)
Lineage: Eukaryota; Metazoa; Arthropoda; Insecta; Coleoptera; Lampyridae
Exons: 2
Source: RefSeq, a predicted model, not a curated record